RNAcentral lists this ribosomal RNA (429 nucleotides) under Gemmatimonadota bacterium. Its description in RNAcentral is "Gemmatimonadetes bacterium partial 16S ribosomal RNA". It matches the Rfam family "Bacterial small subunit ribosomal RNA", at positions 355 to 776 of the family's 1533-position model. Lineage: Bacteria; Pseudomonadati; Gemmatimonadota. The record is from RNAcentral.
UAGGGAAUCUUCGGCAAUGGACGAAAGUCUGACCGAGCAACGCCGCGUGAGUGAAGAAGGUUUUCGGAUCGUAAAACUCUGUUGUUAGAGAAGAACAAGGACGUUAGUAACUGAACGUCCCCUGACGGUAUCUAACCAGAAAGCCACGGCUAACUACGUGCCAGCAGCCGCGGUAAUACGUAGGUGGCAAGCGUUGUCCGGAUUUAUUGGGCGUAAAGCGAGCGCAGGCGGUUUCUUAAGUCUGAUGUGAAAGCCCCCGGCUCAACCGGGGAGGGUCAUUGGAAACUGGGAGACUUGAGUGCAGAAGAGGAGAGUGCAGUUCCAUGUGUAGCGGUGAAAUGCGUAGAUAUAUGGAGGAACACCAUUGGCGAAGGCGGCUCUCUGGUCUGUAACUGACGCUGAGGCUCGAAAGCGUGGGGAGCAAACAGG